AUAUGGCUCAGAACGAACGCUGGCGGCGCGUUUAAGCAUGCAAGUCGAACGGGAUUCGGGGGCAACUCCGGAUGAGAGUGGCGCACGGGUGAGUAAGACGUAGGUGAUCUGCCCUUGGGUUGGGGAUAGCUCAUGGAAACAUGAGAUAAUACCGAAUACGAUUCCUAUCGCGAGGUAGGGAGGAAAGCUCCUCAUGGGGGCGCCCGAGGAUGAGCCUGCGGUUCAUUAGCUAGUUGGUGGGGUAAAGGCCUACCAAGGCGACGAUGGAUAGCCGGCCUGAGAGGGUGUACGGCCACACUGGGACUGAGACACGGCCCAGACUCCUACGGGAGGCAGCAGCUAAGAAUCUUCUGCAAUGGACGCAAGUCUGACAGAGCGACGCCGCGUGAACGAUGAAAGGCCGCAAGGUUGUAAAGUUCUUUUCUUUGUGAGGAAUAAGGGGCAGAGGAAAUGCUGUCCUGAUGACGCAAGCGAAGGAAUAAGCCCCGGCUAAUUACGUGCCAGCAGCCGC
Molecule: ribosomal RNA, 511 nt
Filed under: uncultured bacterium
Lineage: Bacteria
Description: bacterial SSU rRNA
Rfam family: Bacterial small subunit ribosomal RNA
Source: RNAcentral